UACGGAGGAUGCGAGCGUUAUCCGGAUUUAUUGGGUUUAAAGGGUGCGUAGGCGGCCUGCCAAGUCAGCGGUAAAAUUGCGGGGCUCAACCCCGUACAGCCGUUGAAACUGCCGGGCUCGAGUGGGCGAGAAGUAUGCGGAAUGCGUGGUGUAGCGGUGAAAUGCAUAGAUAUCACGCAGAACCCCGAUUGCGAAGGCAGCAUACCGGCGCCCGACUGACGCCGAGGCACGAAAGUGCGGGGAUCAAACAGG
This 252-nucleotide ribosomal RNA is filed under the name uncultured bacterium. RNAcentral's name for it is "partial 16S ribosomal RNA". It matches the Rfam family "Bacterial small subunit ribosomal RNA", at positions 524 to 776 of the family's 1533-position model. The record is from RNAcentral.